RNAcentral lists this transfer-messenger RNA (77 nucleotides) under Klebsiella pneumoniae. RNAcentral's name for it is "partial transfer-messenger RNA". It matches the Rfam family "transfer-messenger RNA", at positions 295 to 374 of the family's 374-position model. From Rfam's summary of the family: Bacterial tmRNA, also known as 10Sa RNA or SsrA, is named for its dual tRNA and mRNA-like properties. Its role is to liberate the mRNA from a stalled ribosome. The record is from RNAcentral. Lineage: Bacteria; Pseudomonadati; Pseudomonadota; Gammaproteobacteria; Enterobacterales; Enterobacteriaceae.
UGUAAAGACUGACUAAGCAUGUAGUGCCGAGGAUGUAGGAAUUUCGGACGCGGGUUCAACUCCCGCCAGCUCCACCA